Pyrgilauda ruficollis (rufous-necked snowfinch) is the source of this 992-nucleotide long non-coding RNA. RefSeq lists it as uncharacterized. The transcript is spliced from 4 exons. Lineage: Eukaryota; Metazoa; Chordata; Aves; Passeriformes; Passeridae. The record is from RefSeq and is a predicted model, not a curated record.
AGAUGGGUCACCCUGACUUCAUUUUCAGACUUCGUGGAACCACGAUGAAGUCUGGAUAAGUAAGAGCACUGAGGGCUUUCCUGAUCUCUUCCCAGACUUCCCCAUGGCAGACUAUCCAGUACUUUGGAGUGUAGGCUCACCCAGGGCCAGCAACAUGGACCAAGUUCUACAAACACCAGAACAUAACAGAGCUUUGUGGGAAGUGGACAUAUCGAGUUUUAUACCAUGGGAAGGACAGAAAAUCUGGCGUGAUGAAUCAACAACACAAAAUGAAGUCACAGAUGUGCCCGAGUCAGUGGAUAUGUGGCUGGACUGACAGAACCAGGACUUCCUUUCUUCUUCUUACUUUAUGAAUUAAUUUGCCUUCAUGUCAGCUCACUUGUAACUAAACUGGCUUCUUUUCAUCCUAUUUUUUUAAUGAUGCACUCUGCAGCACUUUGUAUAGCCUGAGGUACUCAAAUGGCAUGUAAGUGGAUAUUGCCCUGCAAGCUGCACUCUGCCAUACAAUUGCUAUCGUCUCUUAAGUCUUAAAAGCCUGGGCAUGAUGUGAAUUACAGGCUUUUCUUCUCCAUGUGGGGCUCACAGCUUAUAGUCCUAAAUUACAUUUUGUCAGCCUGUUGUCAAAGCAAGAUAGAAGACCAUUAAAAAUAAGCUGCAGUUAUGUAAGUGUUCAUGAGUGUCUAAAUAUUAAUGUCAGGAUUUUGCAUAAUGGCAAUGCUCUAAAUAAUCCUUUUUAGCCUUUGUAGUUUAAUCUUUGUUCAUAUUUUAUCCAUUAGUUACCUCUAAAUAGCAUGGUUCUUUUGAUAAGUAAGAGGCUGUGAAUAACAUUUACUGAAAUUUCAACAUUCUUGUCUUUCACUGCCACAAUCGGAAAUGACUCUGUUCCUGGGGCCGCUCGCGCUUUCGUAUUUUAAUUGCAAAUGAACUAUACAACCUGCAGCAGUUUAAACAAAACCCAAACACAAACCAAAAUAAAUUUUUAAAAAAGCAUA